UGUUUUGUUUAGUGGACUGACUGGCCUGUGCUGCUUCCCGCAGUCCACAGCCUACAGUCCACAAUUUCCUGAUCU
Molecule: microRNA precursor, 75 nt
Filed under: Apis mellifera (honey bee)
Lineage: Eukaryota; Metazoa; Arthropoda; Insecta; Hymenoptera; Apidae
Description: microRNA ame-mir-6047a precursor
Source: miRBase by way of RNAcentral